GGGGGCGAUUGGAUUCGACGGAGAUACUUGAGGCGGAGGCUGCAUGUCGAGAUCCCACCUCUCUCGUAAAACGGUGGAAACAAUUAAGUGCAGAAGCACAACCUCUCGCUGCCUAAUUAAGACAGCCGUUUCCCGGGUUCACUCCUGCGGUUCCCGGGAGGCGUCGACCAGCAGGAUAGCGGACCGGGCCCGCCCCAAACCCGGCGAGCGAAACCCUUCAGGGCUGGUUCCGCUGCGUUUUUCCUCUUCAAGCGCGCGGGACGAGAUUCCCGAAGAGGAUACGCGUGUAGACGCCUCCAGCUGAAUGUCUUCGGACGCGGGUUCGAUUCCCGCCGCCUCCAUUC
RNAcentral lists this transfer-messenger RNA (344 nucleotides) under Candidatus Aminicenantes bacterium RBG_13_63_10. It matches the Rfam family "transfer-messenger RNA". From Rfam's summary of the family: Bacterial tmRNA, also known as 10Sa RNA or SsrA, is named for its dual tRNA and mRNA-like properties. Its role is to liberate the mRNA from a stalled ribosome. Lineage: Bacteria; Candidatus Aminicenantota. The record is from RNAcentral. RNAcentral also lists the same sequence under 1 other name.